UACAGAGGUGGCAAGCGUUGUUCGGAAUUACUGGGCGUAAAGGGCGCGUAGGCGGCCAUCUAAGUCAGACGUGAAAUCCCCCGGCUUAACCUGGGAACUGCGUCUGAUACUGGACGGCUGGAGUUUGGGAGAGGGAUGUAGAAUUCCAGGUGUAGCGGUGAAAUGCGUAGAUAUCUGGAGGAAUACCGGUGGCGAAGGCGGCAUCCUGGACCAAUACUGACACUGAGGAGCGAAAGCCAGGGGAGCAAACGGG
This 253-nucleotide ribosomal RNA is filed under the name uncultured bacterium. RNAcentral's name for it is "partial 16S ribosomal RNA". It matches the Rfam family "Bacterial small subunit ribosomal RNA", at positions 524 to 776 of the family's 1533-position model. The record is from RNAcentral.